This 253-nucleotide ribosomal RNA is filed under the name uncultured bacterium. RNAcentral describes it as "partial 16S ribosomal RNA". It matches the Rfam family "Bacterial small subunit ribosomal RNA", at positions 524 to 776 of the family's 1533-position model. The record is from RNAcentral.
UACGUAGGGUGCAAGCGUUGUCCGGAAUUAUUGGGCGUAAAGAGCUCGUAGGCGGUCUGUCGCGUCUGCUGUGAAAACUCAGGGCUUAACCCCGGACUUGCAGUGGGUACGGGCAGACUAGAGUGUGGUAGGGGAGACUGGAAUUCCUGGUGUAGCGGUGAAAUGCGCAGAUAUCAGGAGGAACACCGAUGGCGAAGGCAGGUCUCUGGGCCACUACUGACGCUGAGAAGCGAAAGCAUGGGGAGCGAACAGG